CUGACGGCAGCGACAACGUUCAGACUUGACCAUCGGCUCGACACUACACCAUCGCCACUUCUGCCCCUGUCUCAUCAACGACCUAGCAGAGUUUGAAGAUUAAUAAUCUCCAUGGAGGAUGGCGUUGCUAAUUUGUUCUAAUGAAGCUGGAGGACAUCUCAGAAGGAUUGUAUUUCAGACACUUUCACUCUGAACCUCAAUCCUGGAGGCCGAGCCUUCAGCUAUUUGCUUGCAGCAGAUUAGAAGCUUAAUUUGCAAGAUUGACAUUUUUGGUACUAGCAUAGUUACUUAAUUACAUUCUAUUCAUGCAUUAGCUCUGUUGAUUAUAUGCAAAUAUACAAAUAGAUUACGUCUGUCCAUUUCUUGUGUUAAAUUGCUCAUUGAAGAAUACCCUUUGAUACUUUAGCAAGUUUUUGGAAGUUCAGUUUGUAGUACUUUUUAUUGGUUAUUUGAUCAACUGCUCAUGUACCCUAAAAUAUUUAUCUGACGUGCCAUUUUAUUCGGGUCAUUUCAUGUUUCUGUAUAUUAAAAAUUCUUGAUAUAUACUUGUGAUAGCUAGGCCAUGGACAACAGUUAGGCUGUUCACGCCAUUUGAUGGACUAGCAAGGUUUUUGAUGUUUGUGCUUUAGAGAAGUUCACUGAAGCUUGCAAGUUGUUUCGCAAGACUCUGACAACCUUUCUCGCCUUCUGAUACUCUUCUAAAACACCAAGGUGAGAAUGGUUGCAGGAUUGAGUGAUAUUUUCAUGCAUUAUUAUCUUUCAACUUUUUUCUUGGGAAGUUCAGGCUCUUGCCUCACCAAGGUCGUACCUCUUGCACGCACAUGACGACAAAAAGAAUAUCCAAUACAACAAAGAGGGGUAAGCAUUAUGAAGAACAGCGGAAGAAUGGUAAAGCUUCGUUGCAAGUGUUAGCCUCCUACAAUGCUUAAUAUUCGAUUGUUUUUCGGCUAUUUCAGCUAAUUACUCCCAAGGAACUGAAGCAAAUAUUUGAGGAGUUGUAAUCACAAACACUCAUAUUAUAUAGGAGUAGAUAUUUUACUAUUCAAAUUAUGGCAUAUAUUUCUAUGAUUCCAUUAAAAAAAAUCCUAUGAUUCUAUCUGGCGCGGCAACAUGCGCCUUUAUGUUCUAGUAUAUACUAGAACGAAGUGAGUAUAUGGUCUUAGGCCUUUUCACACACAAAAAUUGGUCCCCAUAAAUGUUACCAUAAUUGGUAGAAAUUUAUGAGUAUACGGCAGUAGGGAAAUGUUGCUACGAAGGUAUCACAUUUUCAUAGUUACUUCAGUGAUAACCAAAUUGACCAUAUGUAGUUUUUAUUGUGGGGAAUCAUAUGUAGUUGCAACUGAAAGUGCACUAAAUUGUUUUUGACAUCUAUGACAACUUCAUUUGUGUUUCUAACCACAUGCUCUAGUGUAAACAGCACUGAUUAAAUUAAAGUGAAGCAUGGAUGGUUAUUUCCCCUCUUAUCGAAAAAAGGAAAAGCGGAGUGCCCAAGAAAAGCGGAGUACCAUACCGUUUUCUUAUUUCUUGAGUCCUUAGGAAAGCCGCACUAUUAAGAGGGGAUACAUCAUAAAAACAUCUGGGAAUCAACUUGUCCUCUCACAUGGUCUGAAAAAUCUCACAAUGAAAAGCUUCUGUUCAGGCCGAAACUUCCGGGACAACCGGAACUUCCGGGGACCGGAAGAUCCGGGAAGCUUCCGGGGCACCUAGAGAAACUGCUCUUUUGUGCAAACUCUCUGUGUAUCCUGGAACCUUGCCAGACCCAGGCCGGAACUUCCGUCCUCCAGAACUUCCGUCCCCUGUUCUAACAGCUUCCGGGGUACUACAGAGUGGAUGCAAACCCUCUGUGUAGCCCGGAACCUGGACAGAACUUGGCCGGAACUUCCGGGGUCUGGAACUUCCGUGUGUGGCCGGAACUUCUGGGAUACGUAGAAGUCUGCCUCCAAUGGCCAGAUUCCAUCCCCACCUAUAAAUAGUCUUCUUCUUCCUCAUGAAGAACGGGAUGACUCCAUUUCUCACCUCCAUAUUCAGACCUCGGUUUCUUGGAUAUGUCCCUCCUUAGCCACCCAAAACUCUUGAUCUUUUGUGAAGCAAAGGAGAAGUGCUCGAUCUACACAUUCACCAAAGCGAAAGUUGAUUCGCCCUUGUUUUUGUGGUGCAUCUUGUUACUCUUGGAGGUUGGAGACUCCUAGGCGGUAGGAGUGCUCCGUGGAGGAAUCGACCAUUGUGAUUUCCCUCGAAAAGUUUGUGAGGGUUUGGAGACCACCCCAAGGUCUACCACUAGUGGUUGAGAAACGCCUUCGUGGUGUUGUAUCAAAGGGAGAAUAGGGUGAGACUUCGUGGCGUU
Molecule: long non-coding RNA, 2344 nt
Organism: Triticum urartu
Lineage: Eukaryota; Viridiplantae; Streptophyta; Magnoliopsida; Poales; Poaceae
Source: RefSeq, a predicted model, not a curated record